GAGGAGACUGCUGGCAACACCACAACCUUGAUGAUACUGAAAACAGUACCGAAAACAGCUGACGAUACUAGAUGUCACAGAUGAACCAGCUAAGGUUGGUGGAGGGUAAACAACAAAGCCCGUGUCCCACUGCUGCUGCCUAACAAAUAGUGCUUGACUCCUGCUUGUUGGACAUGCUGUCAAGUGUUGCAUGGACAGGGUUUUGGAGGGAAAAGAAGCUGGAAGAAGGGAAACCAAGACGCUAAGAAAAUAUCAAGACCUCUAAUGUCCAUGCUCCAUUAGCCUGAAGAAGACGUUCUAGCUUGGAAAUGAUCCUUGUUGGAGAGGAAGAAAGCCAAGUCAGCAAGAACUGGAAGACCUGGCCUCCAGAUUCAACUCCUCCUGCUCUCCUUCCUUUGAAUUGGAUAUGGCUAUUGAAUACCUUGAGAAGAUUAACAUUUUCUCUUUUCAAACUACCCUUCACUCAUCCUCAAAAAUGAGCUCAUACAGGAAGCCUGUUUUCAGCCUCACAAUUGACAGGGCUUUCUGAAAAGCAAGAAAGUGGAACAGGAGUUCCAUGAGCACAUGCCAAGGCUGCUCCAGUUGGUGGCGGAUCUAGUUGGUGGAAUCCAGUUGGUGGCAAAUUUUCUUUCUACUUGAAUGUCAUGACUGUAACAUUCAAAAAUAUUAUUUCUCAUUCUUUAAACUGCAAAGUGAUGGAAGAAAGACUGAGUUCAAACAAGCUCCCAAGACGCAUCUGUGCUGAUUUGCUUCGUGCCUGUCCAGGAUGUCCUCCCAGGAUGCACUGGAGCUGGUACUUCUCGUGCACAGGCACCUGCGCAUCUUUGUUUAGUCAACUUCGGGAAAGGUGUUAUGAGGGAGGCAUUGGAGGAGGGGUAUCGCAUGAAGUUACUCAAGAUAGAAGAGAUCCAAGCCAGAGGAUAAGUAUAAAACCAUGUCUGUGGAGAGUUUGAGAAGUGAGACCACAGAAGUUAAGCUUGUCAUCAUGCCAGGGUGCUGGAGGUGAUGGAAAGUCUAAAAAGUCAAGAGUGAGCUAAUGGUGGGGUAUUAUCAAUGAGAGAUGAUGUAAUGAGAUAAGAGUGUCCUGAAUCGGGAUCCCUGGCACAUGGCCCUAUUGGAUAAUAGGGCCUAUUGCUGACCUUUGGCUAAGACUUAUUUAAUGUUCACUAUAGAAUAUUGAAGUCUCAGAUAUUGUAACCUGAUUAUUUUUCUCUCUCUCUGAGGCUGUCUUCAACCCAAAAAUGUCAUGGAUCUAUGCUUGCCUCAGUUCAGUGUGCUUUUCAAUGUACUCACACUUAAAUUCCUUCAGCUCACUCCAUAGGUGAGGGGAUGGCGGCAGAAGGAGGUGAAGUGACUUGCUCAAGUUCAGAGUCUGGAAGUGGUCAAUCUGGAAUUCAGCUUACAAAGAACUUUACAGGAAAAAAGGCAAUUAUGUAGAAAAGCUACUGCUUUGAACAAAGAAGUGUCUUCCAGAACUGACAGGUGGAGUCUAGCUCCAAGCCAGCUGUGGAAGCCCAUUUGCCCUCUUCUCUAACCUGUGAGUAGAGAACCUUAAGGUAAGCUGGGUCUAUCCUCAAGACGGUGAAUUACCAGGCAAAUUUCCAGGGACAUCA
Long non-coding RNA from Mustela erminea (ermine), 1613 nucleotides. RefSeq lists it as uncharacterized. The transcript is spliced from 6 exons. Lineage: Eukaryota; Metazoa; Chordata; Mammalia; Carnivora; Mustelidae. The record is from RefSeq and is a predicted model, not a curated record.